RNAcentral lists this ribosomal RNA (497 nucleotides) under uncultured bacterium. RNAcentral's name for it is "partial 16S ribosomal RNA". It matches the Rfam family "Bacterial small subunit ribosomal RNA", at positions 38 to 507 of the family's 1533-position model. The record is from RNAcentral.
GGGGGGGGCGGGGGGGGGGGCGAGGGCAGGCGGGUCGGGCGGACAGACGGGGAGCUUGCGCCUCUGACGUUGGCGGCGGACGGGUGAGUAACACGUGGAUAACCUACCUAUAAGACUGGGAUAACUUCGGGAAACCGGAGCUAAUACCGGAUAAUAUAUUGAACCGCAUGGUUCAAUAGUGAAAGACGGAUUUGCUGUCACUUAUAGAUGGAUCCGCGCCGCAUUAGCUAGUUGGUAAGGUAACGGCUUACCAAGGCAACGAUGCGUAGCCGACCUGAGAGGGUGAUCGGCCACACUGGAACUGAGACACGGUCCAGACUCCUACGGGAGGCAGCAGUAGGGAAUCUUCCGCAAUGGGCGAAAGCCUGACGGAGCAACGCCGCGUGAGUGAUGAAGGUCUUCGGAUCGUAAAACUCUGUUAUUAGGGAAGAACAAAUGUGUAAGUAACUAUGCACGUCUUGACGGUACCUAAUCAGAAAGCCACGGCUAACUACGUG